CCAUACGCGGGGCUUGAACUCACGAAACCGUGAGAUCAUGACCUGAGCCGAAACCAGGAGUCGGACGCUCAACUGGCUGAACCACGCAGGCGCCCCCAUAUGUAUUUUUGACUCAGUGACUCAGCAUGAUUUUCAUGGGCUUGGGUGGUCUGGCUACUUCCUGGUGGACCAGCUCCCCAUUUGAUGGGGGACACUGUUGUACAGACAGGACACCGUCUCAGGAUCAGCCGAGUGGGUGAAUGGCAGACGGCAGUCAGACGCCCUGGCUCCCACGUCCCCCUGCCUGAGCCCGCACGACACAGAAAACGCAAAGCAGAGGUGCAGACGGCACGCUGACCCGAGCCAGUCCCCGAAUGAGCACGGUCAUGGGAGACCCUCAUUCUCACGAGGAAGCGAUACGAAGCUUGUUUCCUUUUUGGCACAUCCCUCACAGUGACUUAGUGUUUUCCAGAACAUUCCAUGAUUGCUCGGGCACGAAUCUCUGCUCAGAAGGAAGGGGACAGCGGGGUUUGCAAAAGGUAGAAUGAGUGAAGAGGGAACACGUAGCAAAAGCCCCAAGGUGGCCGCGGGAAGGAAGACAAAACGGCAGCUACACCUCAGACCCUCAGAUGGGGUCGCCGCAGCCUCUGCCGCGACUCUGUCUUUCCCAAGUGGACCUGAGAAGAAGACUGCCGUCAUUCCCUGCACAGCCCCGCAGGGAGACCCAAGUUCACAUCCAGGCUCCAGCAGUCACUCGCUGUGUCGCCUUGGGUGAGACACUGAACUUCUGUGUGUCUCAGUGUCCCCAUCUGUCAAAGGGGAAUAAUAAAUGUGCCUGCCUCGUAGUGCUGUUGAGAGGCCGACAGGAGAUCGUGCCUGUGAAGUGCGUCACACGGGCCCGGACACACAGGGGCUGCCCCAUACAUGUAAGCUAUUAUGUGUCCGUUCGGUCAAGACCUGAAUUGUCUCCUAACCUCCAGGCACUGUUCUUAGUGGCCGGUAAACCGUGGUGAGGAAGACGAGAGGCUCCUGUUUCCCGGAGCUUCUGUUCCAGGGCAGGAGAGAGAUCUUAAACACACGAGCAGCAGAUGGACGAGGAUGACAAGGUCUCACUCCUUGUGGAGCCCGGACCUUUCGGCGACCGGCGAGCAGGGUUCUGAGGCUGUCCCAGACGCCGUGGCAGAAAACUGCUUCGUUGGGGAAUGAUUGACCCAGAAAAGGCUGUGCGUAUCCGGUGUAUACAACACGCGUACUACUCGAUGUGCUUGGAGUUGAGACAGCCUCUGACAUCCUCUGGACUCGUGCUGUCUUCUGAGUCCCAAAGAACUGAAAGCGGAACCCUCGUUCAAGAGCUUCCAGCAGUGGCAAGACCUCAGCCUUCAGCCGUGCCCUGUUCGGUGUAAUUACAACCGCGGUAGGAAAAUGCGUCUCAGAAAAGUCACCCUCACCGUGUGCUACCCGGUGCCCUACGCGCCCCUCUCAUUUAAUCCCCUGCACGGCAGCUUGUGGUUACCACCCCAUUUUACAGAUAAGACCAUGGGAGCUCAGAGAUCUCAACUAAGCCAGUGAGCGGGAAAACCAGAAACCAAACCCAGGUCUUUGGGACUCCAGGACCCUAACUCACGACCCCCAAACGGGGGCUCUGGGAAAUGUGUGAAAGCACAGAUGCCAGUCCCAGGCCCCUUCUCUGCCCCCAGUUCUGAUCUGUAGGUCCAGUGUCGGACUCGGGAUCAGCAUUUUUAACAAGCGCUCCAGUGGUGGGGGGCGGGGGGGCUCAGCCUCCGGGUGGGACGUCCGUCGGGCCAGUUGGCAGAGCCCCCCCCAGCUGGGGCAGGUGAGGAAGCCCCACAGUCAGAGGCGGUAGCAGCACUGGUGGGAGAGGGAAAGGCACCAAAAAAGCCCCCGAACCAAAUGCCCGAGAUGCUUCUCGUAAUGCCCCCAAAUUCCAUCAUCGACAAGUCACUUCUCUGCCAAGUUCCCCGCUCUCCCCACUUCCUCUCCAUUCAAACUCAUUUGCCUGGGUGUGCCAGACUCUGAGGAAGAGAAACUGAUUUUUACUAGGGUGUGAAUGACUUCCUUGGGUCCUCAGGGCACUGUGUUCCUUUCUUGAAUUCCCUCAGGCAUUGGCCAGAGCUGGGGCAUCCUAGGAUCUUGUCCAGAGUCCUCAGAGGAUAUAACCGAAUGCGAUUUAGGAACAAAGACUGUCUUAUCCAGGCUUCCUCCUCCUGCUAGUCACCCCCCCACCCAUCUCAGUGCUCUUUGCUCCCUCUUCCCCUUUCUCCUUAGUCAUCCUGCCCUCAGGACAGACUCUGAAUCUCAUUCACACUGUGACCUCGGUAACUGAUAACAGCUUAAGUGUGUGUGUGGGGGGGAGGUGCUCCACCAUCAGAAUGAUGAAAACCCAGAAGGCAAGAGAAGCUGGGACACUGAGGCCGAGGAAAGGUUGCCUCGUCAGGGGCUGGGUGCUGGGCAGAGGCGGGGGGUGGGGGGGGCGCGGGAGGCAGACCCGCGCGUGAGCCCACGUCCCUUGACUCCGGCGAGUUACCGGACGUUUGUUCCCGGCGGUCCACACUGGCGAGUCAGCUCCGCCACCCAGAGCGGGGCCCAUCUCUCUGCCACUGUCGCCGUCACCUGGAACGCAGUAGGCGCUCCGUGCGGGUCUGCGAGCUGAUGAACGUGACCGGCGCCUCUCUCCCGGCCCUACAGGUGCGCUCCGCCUCCGAUGAUGCAGGCGGGAGGGCGGUUUGGGGUCUGCCUCCUAACCGUCCAGCCGCCUGGCCUGGCCUGGCCUCGCCACCCGCCACCGGCCGCGGGCAUCGGGCGCUGGCCCGGGAAGCCGAGACCCUGCCCGCCUGCGCGCGGGUGUCUCUGCUUUCCUCCCGUGACGCACGUCCUCGCCCUCGCCGCGGGGGAGGCGCGGAGCCCAGGCACCCACCCGGCCCCGGCUGUCACUUCCCCAGAAGGCAUUUCCGGGGAGGCGGCGACAGAGGUCCCAGUCCAACCCCCCCUGAGAAUUCUGGAGACUGGCUUGAUUCCACACUCGCUUCUUCCUGGGGUUUUUCCUUUCGUGUUUUUUUUUUUUUUUUAACCAAAUUCUGUAGCGUAAGAAAUAGCUUACGACAUGACAGCCAUGCAUACGUCCACACGCAGGACACGUCUCCCGAAACGUCUCUCUGACCCCUGAGGAGCUCCAGCAUUUUCGCCCCUAAUCCAGCCUCGCUCAUGAAAAAAGUAUUGGGUGUGAGGCCCUGUGUUUCUUUCAAGACCCACGCUUCUGGUCAAGUCCUGCGUGAUUGAAAAACUCGACUUUUUCUCACGAGAAAGGAAUGAUCUGAGAUAGUCGUGAGUCCCAAAAGAUGGGGAGAAUGUGUGUGUGUGGGGGGGGGGACGGAGGGAUGGGGUUCUAGGAGGCUGGAGAGGCUUCGGGGAAGUUUCCGUGGGACGAGGCAGGUAGCACACAGCUCCGCCGGAGGAUGGGGCCCCACCCCUUGCUCGCUCGCUGCCUGGAGUUAGGGCUUCCAGGCUAAUCCCCUUGGCCGAGGCCAGCCCUGCCCGAGACCACGAGGCUGUGGGGCACCUGCUGGGUCUCAAAGACUCAAUGUGGGGGCGCCUGGGUGGCUCAGUGGGUUGGAUGUUCGACUCUUGAUAUGGCCCAGGUCAUGAUCUCAUAGAGCAUGAG
Molecule: long non-coding RNA, 3658 nt
Organism: Herpailurus yagouaroundi (jaguarundi)
Lineage: Eukaryota; Metazoa; Chordata; Mammalia; Carnivora; Felidae
Exons: 4
Source: RefSeq, a predicted model, not a curated record